This 324-nucleotide ribosomal RNA is filed under the name uncultured eukaryote. RNAcentral describes it as "partial 18S ribosomal RNA". It matches the Rfam family "Eukaryotic small subunit ribosomal RNA", at positions 1470 to 1796 of the family's 1831-position model. The record is from RNAcentral.
CCCUUAGAUGUUCUGGGCCGCACGCGCGCUACACUGAUGCAUUCAACGAGCACCCGCUGGGCCGAGAGGUCCGGCUAAUCUUUGAGCGUGCAUCGUGCUGGGGAUAGAUGAUUGCAAUUAUUCAUCUUCAACGAGGAAUUCCUAGUAAACGCAAGUCAUCAGCUUGCAUUGAUUACGUCCCUGCCCUUUGUACACACCGCCCGUCGCACCUACCGAUUGAAUGGUCCGGUGAAAUUCUCGGACGCGGACUUGCGAUGUUAAUUCGGAGCUUGACUGUGAAAGUUAAUUAAACCUUACCAUUUAGAGGAAGGUGAAGUCGUAACA